GUCCCUGAAGCGCAAUGGAUAGCGCCUUGAACUUGUAAUGAAAAGUUGGUGGGUUCAAAUCCCACUUGGGAUG
Non-coding RNA from Trichonephila clavipes, 73 nucleotides. The record is from the annotation of a GenBank genome assembly. NCBI's taxonomy places the organism in Eukaryota, Metazoa, Arthropoda, Arachnida, Araneae, Nephilidae.